RNAcentral lists this ribosomal RNA (465 nucleotides) under uncultured bacterium. Its description in RNAcentral is "partial 16S ribosomal RNA". It matches the Rfam family "Bacterial small subunit ribosomal RNA", at positions 338 to 795 of the family's 1533-position model. The record is from RNAcentral.
CCUACGGGAGGCAGCAGUAGGGAAUCUUCCACAAUGGGCGAAAGCCUGAUGGAGCAACGCCGCGUGGGUGAAGAAGGUCUUCGGAUCGGAAAACCCUGUUGUUAGAGAAGAAAGUGCGUGAGAGUAACUGUUCACGUUUCGACGGUAUCUAACCAGAAAGCCACGGCUAACUACGUGCCAGCAGCCGCGGUAAUACGUAGGUGGCAAGCGUUAUCCGGAUUUAUUGGGCGUAAAGGGAACGCAGGCGGUCUUUUAAGUCUGAUGUGAAAGCCUUCGGCUUAACCGGAGUAGUGCAUUGGAAACUGGGAGACUUGAGUGCAGAAGAGGAGAGUGGAACUACAUGUGUAGCGGUGAAAGGCGUAGAUAUAUGGAAGAACACCAGUGGCGAAAGCGGCUCUCUGGUCUGUAACUGACGCUGAGGUUCGAAAGCGUGGGUAGCAAACAGGAUUAGAUACCCCUGUAGUC